Molecule: ribosomal RNA, 253 nt
Filed under: uncultured bacterium
Lineage: Bacteria
Description: partial 16S ribosomal RNA
Rfam family: Bacterial small subunit ribosomal RNA
Source: RNAcentral
UACGUAGGUGGCAAGCGUUGUCCGGAAUUAUUGGGCGUAAAGCGCGCGCAGGCGGUUUCUUAAGUCUGAUGUGAAAGCCCACGGCUCAACCGUGGAGGGUCAUUGGAAACUGGGGAACUUGAGUGCAGAAGAGGAGAGCGGAAUUCCACGUGUAGCGGUGAAAUGCGUAGAGAUGUGGAGGAACACCAGUGGCGAAGGCGGCUCUCUGGUCUGUAACUGACGCUGAGGCGCGAAAGCGUGGGGAGCAAACAGG